AACGAACGCUGGCGGCAUGCCUAACACAUGCAAGUCGAACGAGGCCUUCGGGUCUAGUGGCGCACGGUGCGUAACGCGUGGGAACCUGCCUUUAGGUUCGGAAUAACUCAGAGAAAUUUGAGCUAAUACCGGAUGAUGUCUUCGGACCAAAGAUUUAUCGCCUUUAGAUGGGCCCGCGUAAGAUUAGCUAGUUGGUGGGGUAAAGCCUACCAAGGCGACGAUCUUUAGCUGGUCUGAGAGGAUGAUUAGCCACACUGGGACUGAGACACGGCCCAGACUCCUACGGGAGGCAGCAGUGGGAAUAUGGACAUGGCGAAAGCCUCGAUCCAGCGAAUGCCG
Molecule: ribosomal RNA, 339 nt
Filed under: uncultured bacterium
Lineage: Bacteria
Description: bacterial SSU rRNA
Rfam family: Bacterial small subunit ribosomal RNA
Source: RNAcentral